This 484-nucleotide ribosomal RNA is filed under the name uncultured bacterium. RNAcentral describes it as "partial 16S ribosomal RNA". It matches the Rfam family "Bacterial small subunit ribosomal RNA", at positions 30 to 507 of the family's 1533-position model. The record is from RNAcentral.
AUUGAACGCUGGCGGCAGGCCUAACACAUGCAAGUCGAGCGGAUGAAGGGAGCUUGCUCCUGGAUUCAGCGGCGGACGGGUGAGUAAUGCCUAGGAAUCUGCCUGGUAGUGGGGGAUAACGUCCGGAAACGGGCGCUAAUACCGCAUACGUCCUGAGGGAGAAAGUGGGGGAUCUUCGGACCUCACGCUAUCAGAUGAGCCUAGGUCGUAUUAGCUAGUUGGUGGGGUAAAGGCCUACCAAGGCGACGAUCCGUAACUGGUCUGAGAGGAUGAUCAGUCACACUGGAACUGAGACACGGUCCAGACUCCUACGGGAGGCAGCAGUGGGGAAUAUUGGACAAUGGGCGAAAGCCUGAUCCAGCAAUGCCGCGUGUGUGAAGAAGGUCUUCGGAUUGUAAAGCACUUUAAGUUGGGAGGAAGGGCAGUAAGUUAAUACCUUGCUGUUUUGACGUUACCAACAGAAUAAGCACCGGCUAACUUCGUG